CACGUAGGGGCCGAGCGUUGUCCGGAGUUACUGGGCGUAAAGCGCGCGCAGGCGGCCCAGUGGGCCUGGCGUGAAAGGGUGCCGCUCAACGGUGCCAGGGCGUCGGGGACCGCUGGGCUUGAGGGCGGGAGGGGCUGGUGGAAUCCCUGGUGUAGUGGUGAAAUGCGUAGAGAUCAGGGGGAACACCCGUGGCGAAGGCGGCCAGCUGGGCCGACCCUGACGCUGAGGCGCGAAGGCGUGGGGAGCGAACGGG
RNAcentral lists this ribosomal RNA (253 nucleotides) under uncultured bacterium. RNAcentral describes it as "partial 16S ribosomal RNA". It matches the Rfam family "Bacterial small subunit ribosomal RNA", at positions 524 to 776 of the family's 1533-position model. The record is from RNAcentral.